RNAcentral lists this ribosomal RNA (397 nucleotides) under uncultured bacterium. RNAcentral's name for it is "bacterial SSU rRNA". It matches the Rfam family "Bacterial small subunit ribosomal RNA", at positions 361 to 775 of the family's 1533-position model. The record is from RNAcentral.
AUAUUGGACAAUGGGCGCAAGCCUGAUCCAGCCAUGCCGCGUGAGUGAUGAAGGCCCUAGGGUUGUAAAGCUCUUUCAACGGUGAAGAUAAUGACGGUAACCGUAGAAGAAGCCCCGGCUAACUUCGUGCCAGCAGCCGCGGUAAUACGAAGGGGGCUAGCGUUGUUCGGAAUUACUGGGCGUAAAGCGCACGUAGGCGGAUCGAUCAGUUAGGGGUGAAAUCCCAGGGCUCAACCCUGGAACUGCCUCUAAUACUGUCGAUCUCGAGUUCGAGAGAGGUGAGUGGAAUUCCGAGUGUAGAGGUGAAAUUCGUAGAUAUUCGGAGGAACACCAGUGGCGAAGGCGGCUCACUGGCUCGACACUGACGCUGAGGUGCGAAAGCGUGGGGAGCAAACAG